CAACAAUCCAGUAACAAUCCAGAGGUCACCACCCCUUCCCAACAAUCCAUAACAAUCCAGAGGUCACCACCCUUCCCAACAAUCCAGUAACAAUCCAGAGGCCACCACCCUUCCCAACAAUCCAGUAACAAUCCAGAGGCCACCACCCUUCCCAACAAUCCGGCAAUGACCCAGAGGCCACCACCCCUUCCCAACAAUCCACUAAAAAUCCAGAGGCCACCACCCUUCCCAACAAUCCG
This 239-nucleotide long non-coding RNA is filed under the name Pan troglodytes (chimpanzee). Its description in RNAcentral is "long non-coding RNA NONPTRT000022". The record is from RNAcentral. Lineage: Eukaryota; Metazoa; Chordata; Mammalia; Primates; Hominidae.